GUGUCAGCCGCCGCGGUAAUACGUAGGUGGCAAGCGUUAUCCGGAUUUACUGGGUGUAAAGGGCGUGUAGGCGGGAUUACAAGUCAGAUGUGAAAACUAUGGGCUCAACCCAUAGCCUGCAUUUGAAACUGUAGUUCUUGAGUGAUGGAGAGGCAGACGGAAUUUCUCGUGUAGCGGUGAAAUGCGUAGAUAUGAGGAGGAACACCAGUGGCGAAGGCGGUCUGCUGGACAUUAACUGACGCUGAGGCGCGAAAGCGUGGGGAGCAAACAGGAUUAGAUACGCUGGUAGUCCACGCUGUAAACGAUGGAUACUAGGUGUGGGGGGACUGACCCCCUCCGUGCCGGAGUUAACACAAUAAGUAUCCCACCUGGGGAGUACGAUCGCAAGGUUGAAACUUAAAGGAAUUGGCGG
Molecule: ribosomal RNA, 412 nt
Filed under: uncultured bacterium
Lineage: Bacteria
Description: bacterial SSU rRNA
Rfam family: Bacterial small subunit ribosomal RNA
Source: RNAcentral